RNAcentral lists this ribosomal RNA (253 nucleotides) under uncultured Oscillospiraceae bacterium. RNAcentral's name for it is "partial 16S ribosomal RNA". It matches the Rfam family "Bacterial small subunit ribosomal RNA", at positions 524 to 776 of the family's 1533-position model. Lineage: Bacteria; Bacillati; Bacillota; Clostridia; Eubacteriales; Oscillospiraceae. The record is from RNAcentral.
UACGUAGGUGGCAAGCGUUAUCCGGAUUUACUGGGUGUAAAGGGCGUGUAGGCGGGACUGCAAGUCAGAUGUGAAAUUCCAGGGCUCAACCCUGGAACUGCAUUUGAAACUGUUUCCCUUGAGUGUCGGAGAGGUAAUCGGAAUUCCUAGUGUAGCGGUGAAAUGCGUAGAUAUUAGGAGGAACACCAGAGGCGAAGGCGACUCACUGGACUGUAACUGAUGCUGAGGCUCGAAAGCGUGGGGAGCAAACAGG